This 460-nucleotide ribosomal RNA is filed under the name uncultured bacterium. RNAcentral describes it as "partial 16S ribosomal RNA". It matches the Rfam family "Bacterial small subunit ribosomal RNA", at positions 338 to 795 of the family's 1533-position model. The record is from RNAcentral.
CCUACGGGAGGCAGCAGUGAGGAAUAUUGGUCAAUGGACGAGAGUCUGAACCAGCCAAGUAGCGUGAAGGAUGACUGCCCUAUGGGUUGUAAACUUCUUUUAUAUGGGAAUAAAAUGUUCCACGUGUGGGAUUUUGUAUGUACCAUAUGAAUAAGGAUCGGCUAACUCCGUGCCAGCAGCCGCGGUAAUACGGAGGAUCCGAGCGUUAUCUGGAUUUAUUGGGUUUAAAGGGAGCGUAGGUGGAUUGUUAAGUCAGUUGUGAAAGUUUGCGGCUCAACCGUAAAAUUGCAGUUGAAACUGGCAGUCUUGAGUACAGUAGAGGUGGGCGGAAUUCGUGGUGUAGCGGUGAAAUGCUUAGAUAUCACGAAGAACUCCGAUUGCGAAGGCAGUUCACUGGACUGCAACUGACACUGAGGCUCGAAAGUGUGGGUAUCAAACAGGAUUAGAUACCCCUGUAGUC